RNAcentral lists this transfer RNA (72 nucleotides) under Sus scrofa (pig). It matches the Rfam family "tRNA". From Rfam's summary of the family: Transfer RNA (tRNA) molecules are approximately 80 nucleotides in length. Their secondary structure includes four short double-helical elements and three loops (D, anti-codon, and T loops). The record is from Rfam by way of RNAcentral. Lineage: Eukaryota; Metazoa; Chordata; Mammalia; Artiodactyla; Suidae.
CCUCUGCUAGUCUAGUGGCUGGGAUUCCCGGUUUUCAUCCAGGCUGCCCAGGUUCAAUUCCUGAGCGGAGAA